Molecule: ribosomal RNA, 429 nt
Filed under: Gemmatimonadota bacterium
Lineage: Bacteria; Pseudomonadati; Gemmatimonadota
Description: Gemmatimonadetes bacterium partial 16S ribosomal RNA
Rfam family: Bacterial small subunit ribosomal RNA
Source: RNAcentral
UAGGGAAUCUUCGGCAAUGGACGAAAGUCUGACCGAGCAACGCCGCGUGAGUGAAGAAGGUUUUCGGAUCGUAAAACUCUGUUGUUAGAGAAGAACAAGGACGUUAGUAACUGAACGUCCCCUGACGGUAUCUAACCAGAAAGCCACGGCUAACUACGUGCCAGCAGCCGCGGUAAUACGUAGGUGGCAAGCGUUGUCCGGAUUUAUUGGGUGUAAAGCGAGCGCAGGCGGUUUCUUAAGUCUGAUGUGAAAGCCCCCGGCUCAACCGGGGAGGGUCAUUGGAAACUGGGAGACUGGAGUGCAGAAGAGGAGAGUGGAAUUCCAUGUGUAGCGGUGAAAUGCGUAGAUAUAUGGAGGAACACCAGUGGCGAAGGCGGCUCUCUGGUCUGUAACUGACGCUGAGGCUCGAAAGCGUGGGGAGCAAACAGG